RNAcentral lists this ribosomal RNA (252 nucleotides) under uncultured bacterium. RNAcentral describes it as "partial 16S ribosomal RNA". It matches the Rfam family "Bacterial small subunit ribosomal RNA", at positions 524 to 775 of the family's 1533-position model. The record is from RNAcentral.
UACGAAGGGGGCUAGCGUUGUUCGGAAUUACUGGGCGUAAAGCGCACGUAGGCGGAUACUUAGUCAGGGGUGAAAUCCCGGGGCUCAACCCCGGAACUGCCUUUGAUACUGGGUAUCUCGAGUCCGGAAGAGGUGAGUGGAAUUCCGAGUGUAGAGGUGAAAUUCGAUAGAUAUUCGGAGGAACACCAGUGGCGAAGGCGGCUCACUGGUCCGGUACUGACGCUGAGGUGCGAAAGCGUGGGGAGCAACAGG